AUAUGAUCUAACCCGGGUCGACUUCUCCAAAUAGAACAGACACAUACAGAGUGAGAGGAUCCGACAGAAAUUGGAAAGAUGGCGGUGAUGCAGAAGCUGAAGAUGUUCGUGGUGCAAGAGCCUGUUGUGGCAGCUUCUUGCCUCAUCGCCGGCGUUGGACUCUUCCUUCCAGCUGUGGUGAGGCCUAUACUGGAUUCAUAUGGAACAUCCAACCAAGGACCCAAGACUUGUAUGAGUGAUAUAGUUGCUACUAUGAUUGAGAAAAAGAGAUAAAUGUCAGAUUCGGAUGUCAUUCUGCAGCUUCAUGAGAAAAAAAUUAACUCAAAUCUGUAUGUUCCAUAAAUGUUACUACUAUUUUUUACAAUUACAUUCUACAUUGUAAAAGCACGAGAAGACUUGUAUGCGAAUUUUCAAGGUUUCAGUCACAUAAUUCGUUGUAUGAUCUUUUUUCUGUUGUUCUUGCUGCCAACUGGCUUUGUUCUGUAUGAAAUCUUGUGUUGCUUUUUAAUGUAAAAUCAUACUCCACAUUGCUUA
Molecule: non-coding RNA, 534 nt
Organism: Salvia hispanica
Lineage: Eukaryota; Viridiplantae; Streptophyta; Magnoliopsida; Lamiales; Lamiaceae
Source: RefSeq, a predicted model, not a curated record